UGGGGAAUAUUGGACAAUGGGCGAAAGCCUGAUCCAGCCAUGCCGCGUGUGUGAAGAAGGUCUUCGGAUUGUAAAGCACUUUAAGUUGGGAGGAAGGGCAGUAAGUUAAUACCUUGCUGCUUUGACGUUACCGACAGAAUAAGCACCGGCUAACUCUGUGCCAGCAGCCGCGGUAAUACAGAGGGUGCAAGCGUUAAUCGGAAUUACUGGGCGUAAAGCGCGCGUAGGUGGGUUGUUAAGUUGGAUGUGAAAGCCCCGGGCUCAACCUGGGAAAUGCAUCCAAAACUGGCAAGCUAGAGUACGGUAGAGGGUGGUGGAAUUUCCUGUGUAGCGGUGAAAUGCGUAGAUAUAGGAAGGAACACCAGUGGCGAAGGCGACCACCUGGACUGAUACUGACACUGAGGUGCGAAAGCGUGGGGAGCAAACA
This 427-nucleotide ribosomal RNA is filed under the name uncultured bacterium. Its description in RNAcentral is "partial 16S ribosomal RNA". It matches the Rfam family "Bacterial small subunit ribosomal RNA", at positions 355 to 774 of the family's 1533-position model. The record is from RNAcentral.